Molecule: ribosomal RNA, 253 nt
Filed under: uncultured bacterium
Lineage: Bacteria
Description: partial 16S ribosomal RNA
Rfam family: Bacterial small subunit ribosomal RNA
Source: RNAcentral
UACGUAGGGUGCAAGCGUUGUCCGGAAUUAUUGGGCGUAAAGAGCUCGUAGGCGGUUUGUCGCGUCUGCUGUGAAAUCCCGGAGCUCAACUCCGGGUCUGCAGUCGAUACGGGCAGACUGGAGUUCGGCAGGGGAGACUGGAAUUCCUGGUGUAGCGGUGAAAUGCGCAGAUAUCAGGAGGAACACCGGUGGCGAAGGCGGGUCUCUGGGCCGACACUGACGCUGAGGAGCGAAAGCGUGGGGAGCGAACAGG